RNAcentral lists this ribosomal RNA (245 nucleotides) under uncultured Blastopirellula sp. RNAcentral describes it as "partial 16S ribosomal RNA". It matches the Rfam family "Bacterial small subunit ribosomal RNA", at positions 524 to 768 of the family's 1533-position model. The record is from RNAcentral. Lineage: Bacteria; Pseudomonadati; Planctomycetota; Planctomycetia; Pirellulales; Pirellulaceae.
GACGAACCGUACGAACGUUAUUCGGAAUUACUGGGCUUAAAGGGUGCGUAGGCGGCGCGGAAAGUAGGGUGUGAAAUCCCUCGGCUCAACCGAGGAACUGCGCCCUAAACUACCGUGCUCGAGGGAGGUAGAGGUGAGCGGAACUGAGGGUGGAGCGGUGAAAUGCGUUGAUAUCCUCAGGAACACCGGUGGCGAAAGCGGCUCACUGGACCUCUUCUGACGCUGAGGCACGAAAGCUAGGGUAG